AACGAACGCUGGCGGCGCGUCUUAAGCAUGCAAGUCGAACGGUAAGGGAGAGCUUGCUCUCCCCUAGAGUGGCGGACUGGUGAGUAACGCGUGGGUGACCUGCCCUGAAGAUGGGGAUAGCUAGUAGAAAUAUUAGAUAAUACCGAAUGUGCUCAUUUACAUAAAGGUAAAUGAGGAAAGGAGCUACGGCUCCGCUUCAGGAUGGGCCCGCGUCCCAUUAGCUAGUUGGUGAGGUAAAGGCUCACCAAGGCAACGAUGGGUAUCCGGCCUGAGAGGGUGAACGGACACAUUGGGACUGAGAUACGGCCCAAACUCCUACGGGAGGCAGCAGCUAAGAAUCUUCCGCAAUGGACGAAAGUCUGACGGAGCGACGCCGUGUGAAUGAAGAAGGCCGAAAGGUUGUAAAAUUCUUUUGCAGAUGAAGAAUGCUGUGAUAUGACUGUAUCUGCAAUAAGCCCCGGCUAAUUACGUGCCAUCAGCCGCGGUAACACGUAAGGGGCAGCGUUGUUCGGAAUUAUUGGGCGUAAAGGGUAUGUAGGCGGUAGGUAAGCCUGGUGUGAAAUCUACGAGCUCAACUCGUAAACUGCAUUGGGUACUGCUUGACUUGAAUCACGGAGGGGAAACCGGAAUUCCAAGUGUAGGGUGGAAUCUGUAGAUAUUUGGAAGAACACCGGUGGCGAAGGCGGGUUUCUGGCCGAUGAUUGACGCUGAUAUACAAGGUGCGGGGAGCAAACAGGAUUAGAUACCCUGGUAGUCCGCACAGUAAACGAUGUACACUAGGUGUCGGGGCAGAGCUUCGGUGCCGUAAGCAAACGCAUUAAGUGUACCGCCUGGGAAGUAUGCCCGCAAGGGUGAAACUCAUAGGAAUUGACGGGGGCCCACACAAGCG
This 889-nucleotide ribosomal RNA is filed under the name Treponema denticola. RNAcentral describes it as "bacterial SSU rRNA". It matches the Rfam family "Bacterial small subunit ribosomal RNA", at positions 28 to 931 of the family's 1533-position model. Lineage: Bacteria; Pseudomonadati; Spirochaetota; Spirochaetia; Treponematales; Treponemataceae. The record is from RNAcentral.